CCUACGGGAGGCUGCAGUGGGGAAUAUUGGACAAUGGGCGAAAGCCUGAUCCAGCCAUGCCGCGUGUGUGAAGAAGGCCUUCGGGUUGUAAAGCACUUUCAGUGGGGAAGAAAGCCUUGGGGCUAAUACCCUCGAGGAAGGACAUCACCCACAGAAGAAGCACCGGCUAACUCCGUGCCAGCAGCCGCGGUAAUACGGAGGGUGCGAGCGUUAAUCGGAAUUACGGGGCGUAAAGCGCGCGUAGGCGGUCUGAUAAGCCGGUUGUGAAAGCCCCGGGCUCAACCUGGGAACGGCAUCCGGAACUGUCAGGCUAGAGUGCAGGAGAGGAAGGUAGAAUUCCCGGUGUAGCGGUGAAAUGCGUAGAGAUCGGGAGGAAUACCAGUGGCGAAGGCGGCCUUCUGGACUGACACUGACGCUGAGGUGCGAAAGCGUGGGUAGCAAACAGGAUUAGAUACCCCGGUAGUC
RNAcentral lists this ribosomal RNA (465 nucleotides) under Vreelandella stevensii. RNAcentral describes it as "partial 16S ribosomal RNA". It matches the Rfam family "Bacterial small subunit ribosomal RNA", at positions 338 to 795 of the family's 1533-position model. Lineage: Bacteria; Pseudomonadati; Pseudomonadota; Gammaproteobacteria; Oceanospirillales; Halomonadaceae. The record is from RNAcentral.